This 66-nucleotide microRNA precursor is filed under the name Podarcis lilfordi (Lilford's wall lizard). The record is from RNAcentral. Lineage: Eukaryota; Metazoa; Chordata; Lepidosauria; Squamata; Lacertidae.
UAAGUUUGUUAUUGGUAUGAGCUUUUGUGUGCAUGCACACAAAAGCUCAUACCAAUAACAAACAUA